UACGGAGGGUGCAAGCGUUAAUCGGAAUUACUGGGCGUAAAGAGUGCGUAGGUGGUUUGAUAAGUUAUCUGUGAAAGCCCUGGGCUUAACCUGGGAAAGUCAGAUAAGACUGUUAGACUUGAGUAUGGGAGAGGGUAGUGGAAUUUCCGGUGUAGCGGUGAAAUGCGUAGAGAUCGGGAGGAACAUCAGUGGCGAAGGCGGCCAUCUGGGACAACACUGACGCUGAAGCACGAAAGCGUGGGGAGCAAACAGG
This 253-nucleotide ribosomal RNA is filed under the name uncultured bacterium. RNAcentral's name for it is "partial 16S ribosomal RNA". It matches the Rfam family "Bacterial small subunit ribosomal RNA", at positions 524 to 776 of the family's 1533-position model. The record is from RNAcentral.